CAUACGACCGUACCGCAAACCGACACUGGUGCGCGAGAUGAGUAUUCUAAGGCGCUUGAGAGAACUCAGGAGAAGGAACUCGGCAAAUUGACACCGUAACUUCGGAAGAAGGUGUGCCCUAUUAGUGUGUAGUGAACAACGAAGCAUGAAUGGGUUGCAAAAAAUCGGUGGCUGCGACUGUUUAUUAAAAACACAGCACUCUGCAAACACGAAAGUGGACGUAUAGGGUGUGACGCCUGCCCGGUGCUGGAAGAUUAAAUGAUGGGGUGCAAGCUCUUGACUGAAGUCCCAGUAAACGGCGGCCGUAACGAUAACGGUCCUAAGGUAGCGAAAUUCCUUGUCGGGUAAGUUCCGACCUGCACGAAUGGCGUAACGAUGGCCACACUGUCUCCUCCUGAGACUCAGCGAAGUUGAAAUGUUUGUGAUGAUGCAAUCUCCCCGCGGAAAGACGGAAAGACCCCAUGAACCUUUACUGUAGCUUUGUAUUGGACUUUGAACAGAUCUGUGUAGGAUAGGUGGGAGGCUUUGAAGCAGGGUCGCUAGAUCUUGUGGAGCCAACGUUGAAAUACCACCCUGGUGUGUUUGAGGUUCUAACCUAGGUCCAUUAUCUGGAUCGGGGACAGUGCAUGGUAGGCAGUUUGACUGGGGCGGUCUCCUCCCAAAGCGUAACGGAGGAGUUCGAAGGUACGCUAGUUACGGUCGGACAUCGUGACGAUAGUGCAAUGGCAUAAGCGUGCUUAACUGCGAGACUGACAAGUCGAGCAGAUGCGAAAGCAGGACAUAGUGAUCCGGUGGUUCUGUAUGGAAGGGCCAUCGCUCAACGGAUAAAAGGUACUCUGGGGAUAACAGGCUGAUACCGCCCAAGAGUUCAUAUCGACGGCGGUGUUUGGCACCUCGAUGUCGGCUCAUCUCAUCCUGGGGCUGUAGCCGGUCCCAAGGGUAUGGCUGUUCGCCAUUUAAAGAGGUACGUGAGCUGGGUUUAAAACGUCGUGAGACAGUUUGGUCCCUAUCUUCCGUGGGCGCUGCAGAUUUGAGGAAGCCUGCUCCUAGUACGAGAGGACCGGAGUGGACACACCUCUGGUGUAUCGGUUGUCACGCCAGUGGCAUUGCCGAGUAGCUAAGUGUGGAAGAGAUAACCGCUGAAAGCAUCUAAGCGGGAAACUCGUUUCAAGAUGAGAUCUGCCGGGGCCUUGAGCCCCCUAAAGAGUCGUUCAAGACCAGGACGUUGAUAGGUCAGGUGUGGAAGC
Molecule: ribosomal RNA, 1247 nt
Filed under: metagenome
Description: bacterial LSU rRNA
Rfam family: Bacterial large subunit ribosomal RNA
Source: RNAcentral